CUCUGAUUAUUUCCAAAUCAACUCUGCCAGUGGAGAAAUUCAAACCAGAGCCUUACUGUCUUCAACUACUGAUAGAUCAUUCACUCUGCGUGUUCGAGCAACUGAUGGUGGAGGACUGUUUGCUGAUUUGCGGAUUGAUCUCACUGUGAACAAGAACCUCAAUGCACCCACACUGAGUCAACAGAACUACACUGAGACCAUCUUUGAGAACCGUGCUUUGGGAUCUGUUAUUACUACAAUCAGAGCUAAUGACGCUGA
This is a long non-coding RNA of Haliotis rubra (blacklip abalone), 258 nucleotides long. RefSeq lists it as uncharacterized. The record is from RefSeq and is a predicted model, not a curated record. The transcript is spliced from 2 exons. Lineage: Eukaryota; Metazoa; Mollusca; Gastropoda; Lepetellida; Haliotidae.